UUGCAUGCAGUGGCUUUACUGCCCCAACAUGUCCAUCUUUCCACUGUUGAGAUGGGUGUGAAAGGAACAGCAUGCUAGAGUAAACCACAUGGAGUUAACAGGGCCACCAGUCUCUCAAGAGCAGGCUGCGUUGGUAGUAUAAUACUCCAACAAAA
Molecule: small nucleolar RNA, 155 nt
Organism: Electrophorus electricus (electric eel)
Lineage: Eukaryota; Metazoa; Chordata; Actinopteri; Gymnotiformes; Gymnotidae
Source: Ensembl